RNAcentral lists this ribosomal RNA (490 nucleotides) under uncultured bacterium. RNAcentral describes it as "partial 16S ribosomal RNA". It matches the Rfam family "Bacterial small subunit ribosomal RNA", at positions 28 to 507 of the family's 1533-position model. The record is from RNAcentral.
GAUGAACGCUAGCUACAGGCUUAACACAUGCAAGUCGAGGGGCAGCAUGGUCUUAGCUUGCUAAGGCCGAUGGCGACCGGCGCACGGGUGAGUAACACGUAUCCAACCUGCCGUCUACUCUUGGACAGCCUUCUGAAAGGAAGAUUAAUACAAGAUGGCAUCAUGAGUCCGCAUGUUCACAUGAUUAAAGGUAUUCCGGUAGACGAUGGGGAUGCGUUCCAUUAGAUAGUAGGCGGGGUAACGGCCCACCUAGUCUUCGAUGGAUAGGGGUUCUGAGAGGAAGGUCCCCCACAUUGGAACUGAGACACGGUCCAAACUCCUACGGGAGGCAGCAGUGAGGAAUAUUGGUCAAUGGGCGAGAGCCUGAACCAGCCAAGUAGCGUGAAGGAUGACUGCCCUAUGGGUUGUAAACUUCUUUUAUAAAGGAAUAAAGUCGGGUAGGGAUACCCGUUUGCAUGUACUUUAUGAAUAAGGAUCGGCUAACUCCGUG